UAUUCCUAUGAUUCCCACUUUGUUUUUCCAUUCCCGUGAAUGAAUCCACACGUUGGGUACUUCACGUUGCCAUUUGUUCUUCCUUCCAAAUUGUUUCUUUGAUACCAAAUGAAAAUAUGAUUUCUGCUCGUCGCCAAAUCUAAAAGAUGAAGAGUUUUACUCUGCAAAGCGUUGCUAUUUCGGAGAACGACAAAGGUGUAUCAUUAACUACAAAAUUCAACACAAAAAGUCAAAUUGAUCCACCUUAUCCACAACGUCAACAACUACAAGAAUGGUGCUUUCAGGGCUAAAACUUGAAGAAUGGACCUUAAAAAGGCAUCAUCAAAGCAUGAGAUGGAAGUAAGAGUUUUAAGAGUAAAGUUGGGAAGCAAAAUUGUAGAAUUUGAAUUGGCUUAAAGAAAGUUUGCGUCACUCAGAUGCUCCAUGAAUGAAGGCUUGAAUUUAAUGGAAAUCUUCGCUUAACUAGUUGAGUUCGCGCCAGGAUGAGCAAUGUAAUUUCGCCGAGGAGCUAAAGGUUGCAAAAUUGUGAAGGAAAGAAAUAAGCCCGCGUCGCAGACUUCAGUGUCAGUUGUUGAUUUUUGCAAAUUUCAAGACUAAAAAUAGCAUACCUGUAGUUUUUAUUAUUUACUCAGUCUUUUGUUUUGGAGAACGUCUGGAACAACGAAUAAUACUUCUUAGGGUUAUUAUUUCUUACCCUCUUCCUUAAUUUCUACUUGUUGAAUGGUCAUUAAACAUGUCUGGUGAUUCAAAAUAUGAGUGGUUAACUUUUCCUAUUCUAGGACUGUAGCCAC
Solanum dulcamara is the source of this 791-nucleotide long non-coding RNA. RefSeq lists it as uncharacterized. Lineage: Eukaryota; Viridiplantae; Streptophyta; Magnoliopsida; Solanales; Solanaceae. The transcript is spliced from 3 exons. The record is from RefSeq and is a predicted model, not a curated record.